UAGGGAAUCUUCCACAAUGGGCGCAAGCCUGAUGGAGCAACACCGCGUGAGUGAAGAAGGGUUUCGGCUCGUAAAGCUCUGUUGUUAAAGAAGAACACGUAUGAGAGUAAUUGUUCAUACGUUGACGGUAUUUAACCAGAAAGUCACGGCUAACUACGUGCCAGCAGCCGCGGUAAUACGUAGGUGGCAAGCGUUAUCCGGAUUUAUUGGGCGUAAAGAGAGUGCAGGCGGUUUUCUAAGUCUGAUGUGAAAGCCUUCGGCUUAACCGGAGAAGUGCAUCGGAAACUGGAUAACUUGAGUGCAGAAGAGGGUAGUGGAACUCCAUGUGUAGCGGUGGAAUGCGUAGAUAUAUGGAAGAACACCAGUGGCGAAGGCGGCUACCUGGUCUGCAACUGACGCUGAGACUCGAAAGCAUGGGUAGCGAACAGGAUUAGAUACCCUGGUAGUCCAUGCCGUAAACGAUGAGUGCUAGGUGUUGGAGGGUUUCCGCCCUUCAGUGCCGGAGCUAACGCAUUAAGCACUCCGCCUGGGGAGUACGACCGCAAGGUUG
Molecule: ribosomal RNA, 550 nt
Filed under: uncultured bacterium
Lineage: Bacteria
Description: bacterial SSU rRNA
Rfam family: Bacterial small subunit ribosomal RNA
Source: RNAcentral